This 207-nucleotide long non-coding RNA is filed under the name Salvia miltiorrhiza (redroot sage). RNAcentral describes it as "long non-coding RNA (SMIL_LNC002829)". The record is from RNAcentral. Lineage: Eukaryota; Viridiplantae; Streptophyta; Magnoliopsida; Lamiales; Lamiaceae.
AGAGAUUAUUGUCGUUGAGUUUAGAUAAUCUACGUAAUUCGUAGUUCGUUGCUAUUGCUUACGUUUUCCCUUCUUGUUGGUGAAAGUUUAGAGAUUUCUUUUUAUGGAGAUUAAGAUUUUCUUGCAUUCGAAUCUUAUGCUUGAUUGAGUUUCUUGCCUAGGUAGUUAUUAAUCUUUGAUGUUUACAAGUUUAUGAUCGUUUGGUUU